RNAcentral lists this ribosomal RNA (605 nucleotides) under Salmonella enterica subsp. enterica serovar Muenster. Its description in RNAcentral is "partial 23S ribosomal RNA". It matches the Rfam family "Bacterial large subunit ribosomal RNA", at positions 1154 to 1735 of the family's 2925-position model. Lineage: Bacteria; Pseudomonadati; Pseudomonadota; Gammaproteobacteria; Enterobacterales; Enterobacteriaceae. The record is from RNAcentral.
CGUAUCACUUAAAGCGAUUCAGCGGGUUACGAUUGACGGAGCGAAGCGACGUCAAAGCGUAUACAAAGUCGAGUCGGUUUAAGGAUACGUUCGUUGGGUAGGGGAGCGUUCUGUAAGCCUGUGAAGGUGUGCUGUGAGGCAUGCUGGAGGUAUCAGAAGUGCGAAUGCUGACAUAAGUAACGAUAAAGCGGGUGAAAAGCCCGCUCGCCGGAAGACCAAGGGUUCCUGUCCAACGUUAAUCGGGGCAGGGUGAGUCGACCCCUAAGGCGAGGCCGAAAGGCGUAGUCGAUGGGAAACGGGUUAAUAUUCCCGUACUUGGUGUUACUGCGAAGGGGGGACGGAGAAGGCUAUGUUGGCCGGGCGACGGUUGUCCCGGUUUAAGCGUGUAGGUGUGUGUUCCAGGUAAAUCCGGUUCACUUUAACACUGAGGCGUGACGACGAGGCACUACGGUGCUGAAGCAACAAAUGCCCUGCUUCCAGGAAAAGCCUCUAAGCAUCAGGUAACAUCAAAUCGUACCCCAAACCGACACAGGUGGUCAGGUAGAGAAUACCAAGGCGCUUGAGAGAACUCGGGUGAAGGAACUAGGCAAAAUGGUGCCGUAACU